This 573-nucleotide unclassified non-coding RNA is filed under the name Polypogon monspeliensis (annual rabbitsfoot grass). Its description in RNAcentral is "sequence contains ITS1, 5.8S rRNA gene, ITS2". The stretch from base 202 to 357 matches the Rfam family "5.8S ribosomal RNA". Lineage: Eukaryota; Viridiplantae; Streptophyta; Magnoliopsida; Poales; Poaceae. The record is from RNAcentral.
GACCGCGCACGCGUCAUCCAGCCUGCCGGCGGCGACACCGUUCGUCGCUCGGCCAAGUCCUCGAUUCCUACUCUCCUCGGAGCGGGGGAUCGGGGUAAAAGAACCCACGACGCCUAAGGCGUCAAGGAACACUGUGCCUAGCUCGAGGACGCGGACGGCUUGCUGGCCGCCCCUCGUGCUGCAAUGCUAUUUAAUCCACACGACUCUCGGCAACGGAUAUCUCGGCUCUCGCAUCGAUGAAGAACGUAGCGAAAUGCGAUACCUGGUGUGAAUUGCAGAAUCCCGCGAACCAUCGAGUCUUUGAACGCAAGUUGCGCCCGAGGCCAUUCGGCCGAGGGCACGCCUGCCUGGGCGUCACGCAAAACACGCUCCCACCCCCUCAUCGGGGAGCGGGACGCGGCAUGUGGCCCCCCGUCGCUCAAGGGGCGGUGGGCCGAAGAUAUGGCUGCCGGUGUAUCGUGCCGGACACAGCGCGUGGUGGGCGACCUCGCUUUACUUCCGCAGUGCAUCCGACACGUAGCCGACGUGAUUGCCUCGAAGGACCCUAUGAACGGUGCGCACGACGCUCCGACC